GUGGGGAAUAUUGGACAAUGGGCGAAAGCCUGAUCCAGCCAUGCCGCGUGUGUGAAGAAGGUCUUCGGAUUGUAAAGCACUGUAAGUUGGGAGGAAGGGCAGUAAGUUAAUACCUUGCUGUUUUGACGUUACCGACAGAAUAAGCACCGGCUAACUUCGUGCCAGCAGCCGCGGUAAUACGAAGGGUGCAAGCGUUAAUCGGAAUUACUGGGCGUAAAGCGCGCGUAGGUGGUGUUGUAAGUUGGAGGUGAAAUCCCCGGGCUCAACCUGGGAACUGCCUCCAAAACUGCAUGACUAGAGUACGGUAGAGGGUAGUGGAAUUUCCUGUGUAGCGGUGAAAUGCGUAGAUAUAGGAAGGAACACCAGUGGCGAAGGCGACUACCUGGACUGAUACUGACACUGAGGUGCGAAAGCGUGGGGAGCAAACAGGAUUAGAAACCCCUGUAGUCC
RNAcentral lists this ribosomal RNA (450 nucleotides) under uncultured bacterium. RNAcentral describes it as "partial 16S ribosomal RNA". It matches the Rfam family "Bacterial small subunit ribosomal RNA", at positions 354 to 796 of the family's 1533-position model. The record is from RNAcentral.